GCCGCGAUGGUCUAGUGGUAUGAUUCUCGCUUAGGGCUCACCCUGAGUUGAUCGCUGGGAAACCAGCCGAUUACAAUUUGCGAGAGGUCCCGGGUUCAAUCCCCGGUUGCGGCC
Molecule: non-coding RNA, 114 nt
Organism: Magnaporthiopsis poae ATCC 64411
Lineage: Eukaryota; Fungi; Ascomycota; Sordariomycetes; Magnaporthales; Magnaporthaceae
Source: the annotation of a GenBank genome assembly